CAAAUUAGAGCUUGAAGAAGUAUUUCAUUUACAUUGGAAAGAUUAUUAAUUAAUUUAAUUAAUUUGA
This 67-nucleotide transfer RNA is filed under the name Saturnia japonica. RNAcentral describes it as "tRNA-Val". Lineage: Eukaryota; Metazoa; Arthropoda; Insecta; Lepidoptera; Saturniidae. The record is from RNAcentral.